UGGGGANUNUUGCGCAAUGGGGGGAACCCUGACGCAGCCAUGCCGCGUGAAUGAAGAAGGCCUUAGGGUUGUAAAGUUCUUUCGGUAUUGAGGAAGGUUGAUGUGUUAAUAGCACAUCAAAUUGACGUUAAAUACAGAAGAAGCACCGGCUAACUCCGUGCCAGCAGCCGCGGUAAUACGGAGGGUGCGAGCGUUAAUCGGAAUAACUGGGCGUAAAGGGCACGCAGGCGGUUAUUUAAGUGAGGUGUGAAAGCCCCGGGCUUAACCUGGGAAUUGCAUUUCAGACUGGGUAACUAGAGUACUUUAGGGAGGGGUAGAAUUCCACGUGUAGCGGUGAAAUGCGUAGAGAUGUGGAGGAAUACCGAAGGCGAAGGCAGCCCCUUGGGAAUGUACUGACGCUCAUGUGCGAAAGCGUGGGGAGCAAACAGGAUUAGAUNCCCUGGUAGUCCACGCUGUAAACGCUGUCGAUUUGGGGGUUGGGGUUUAACUCUGGCGCCCGUAGCUNACGUGAUAAAUCGACCGCCUGGGGAGUACGGCCGCAAGGUUA
Molecule: ribosomal RNA, 547 nt
Filed under: uncultured bacterium
Lineage: Bacteria
Description: bacterial SSU rRNA
Rfam family: Bacterial small subunit ribosomal RNA
Source: RNAcentral